This 247-nucleotide unclassified non-coding RNA is filed under the name Hevea brasiliensis (rubber tree). Lineage: Eukaryota; Viridiplantae; Streptophyta; Magnoliopsida; Malpighiales; Euphorbiaceae. The record is from RNAcentral.
GGCAAGGUGCCUGGAUUUCGCCUCACCCGGGUGCCUAGGCGAGUGCCCAACCUCCUGGUGACAACACUGCUAACACAGUUAUCAAAGGCGCACCUAAGGCACAAGGCGCACCAAGCAAGUGACCCAAUGCCUCAAGAGCUCAAAAGUGAGCAACCUAUAGGAGGCACACCAAGGUUAGGCGCGCCCCAAGGAGCCCAGCCAUAAAAAAUCCAGAAAUUACUUUUUCUUUCCUUACCCACAUGCAAAC